UACGAAGGGGGCUAGCGUUGUUCGGAAUUACUGGGCGUAAAGGGCGCGUAGGCGGUGUGUCAAGUCAGGCGUGAAAGCCCCGGGCUCAACCUGGGAACAGCGCUUGAGACUGGCACGCUCGAGUUCGGGAGAGGAUGGUGGAAUUCCCAGUGUAGAGGUGAAAUGCGUAGAUAUUGGGAAGAACACCGAUGGCGAAGGCAGCCAUCUGGACCGACACUGACGCUGAGGCGCGAAAGCGUGGGGAGCAAACAGG
RNAcentral lists this ribosomal RNA (253 nucleotides) under uncultured bacterium. RNAcentral's name for it is "partial 16S ribosomal RNA". It matches the Rfam family "Bacterial small subunit ribosomal RNA", at positions 524 to 776 of the family's 1533-position model. The record is from RNAcentral.